UUCCCACAAGCCCAAAUCACAAGAAACUGCUCUUACGGUGAAGACAAGUCUUCUGCAGGGCUUGAGGACGUUAUCUCGUUUGUUCACGCUGAAUCCUGUUGGGAGGCCUCCUCUUCAAGUUUUUAUCUCUACCAAUGCCUAAG
This 143-nucleotide long non-coding RNA is filed under the name Mustela putorius furo (domestic ferret). RNAcentral's name for it is "lncRNA (ENSMPUG00000024393.1)". Lineage: Eukaryota; Metazoa; Chordata; Mammalia; Carnivora; Mustelidae. The record is from RNAcentral.